UACAAAUGUUUAAAAUCCUUGUA
RNAcentral lists this non-coding RNA (23 nucleotides) under Arabidopsis thaliana (thale cress). Lineage: Eukaryota; Viridiplantae; Streptophyta; Magnoliopsida; Brassicales; Brassicaceae. The record is from RNAcentral.